CGGUGUUCAACUGGCGUGUCCGCGGGACGUCCUGCCGGUGGGCUUAGCCCGCAAGGGCGGCCCAACUUCAAAUCCCAUCGCGGUGCUCUUCACUGAGUGUCGAGGUGGGCCGGCACGUUUACUUUGAACAAAUUAGAGUGCUUAAAGCAGGCUAAAACUUCGCCUGAAUACUGUGUGCAUGGAAUAAUGGAAUAGGACCUCGGUUCUAUUUUGUUGGUUUUCGGAACCCCGAGGUAAUGAUUAAUAGGAACGGAUGGGGGCAUUCGUAUUGCGACGUUAGAGGUGAAAUUCUUGGAUCGUCGCAAGACGGACAGAAGCGAAAGCAUUUGCCAAAAACGCUUUCAUUGAUCAAGAACGAAAGUUAGAGGUUCGAAGGCGAUCAGAUACCGCCCUAGUUCUAACCAUAAACGAUGCCAGCUAGCGAUCCGUCGACGUUCCUCCGAUGACUCGACGGGCAGCUUCCGGGAAACCAAAGCUUUUGGGUUCCGGGGGAAGUAUGGUUGCAAAGCUGAAACUUAAAGGAAUUGACGGAAGGGCACCACCAGGAGUGGAGCCUGCGGCUUAAUUUGACUCAACACGGGAAACCUCACCAGGCCCGGACACCGGAAGGAUUGACAGAUUGAGAGCUCUUUCUUGAUUCGGUGGGUGGUGGUGCAUGGCCGUUCUUAGUUGGUGGAGCGAUUUGUCUGGUUAAUUCCGAUAACGAACGAGACUCUAGCCUGCUAACUAGGCGUAUUUUCGACAUCUCAAAGGUCCGUCGUCCCGGCCCUCGGGUCGUGGGCGUGCGCGAUUUUUACUGUCGGCGUACUAUCAAUUCUUCUUAGAGGGACAGGUGGCUUCUAGCCGCACGACGAUUGAGCAAUAACAGGUCUGUGAUG
RNAcentral lists this ribosomal RNA (878 nucleotides) under uncultured eukaryote. Its description in RNAcentral is "SSU rRNA". It matches the Rfam family "Eukaryotic small subunit ribosomal RNA", at positions 636 to 1469 of the family's 1831-position model. The record is from RNAcentral.